AAAAUCUUAGGUUAAGUUAAACUGAGGGCCUUCAAAGCCUUUAAUGGAGAUGGUGUGUUUCCAGAUUUUGC
Molecule: transfer RNA, 71 nt
Filed under: Monodonta labio
Lineage: Eukaryota; Metazoa; Mollusca; Gastropoda; Trochida; Trochidae
Description: tRNA-Trp
Source: RNAcentral